GGGCCGGUAGAUCAGCCCGGUCAUGGUCUCAAUUCGAGCCCAUGGGGAGCUAGAUCGCUUCCUUGGCAUGGAAGAGGUCCCGAGUUCGAAUCUCGGCCGGUCCACCA
Molecule: transfer RNA, 107 nt
Filed under: Candidatus Thorarchaeota archaeon
Lineage: Archaea; Promethearchaeati; Candidatus Thorarchaeota
Description: tRNA-Ala
Rfam family: tRNA
About the family: Transfer RNA (tRNA) molecules are approximately 80 nucleotides in length. Their secondary structure includes four short double-helical elements and three loops (D, anti-codon, and T loops). Further hydrogen bonds mediate the characteristic L-shaped molecular structure. tRNAs have two regions of fundamental functional importance: the anti-codon, which is responsible for specific mRNA codon recognition, and the 3' end, to which the tRNAs corresponding amino acid is attached (by aminoacyl-tRNA synthetases). tRNAs cope with the degeneracy of the genetic code in two manners: having more than one tRNA (with a specific anti-codon) for a particular amino acid; and 'wobble' base-pairing, i.e. permitting non-standard base-pairing at the 3rd anti-codon position.
Source: RNAcentral